GUGCCAGCAGCCGCGGUAAUACGUAGGGCGCAAGCGUUAUCCGGAAUUAUUGGGCGUAAAGAGCUCGUAGGCGGUUUGUCGCGUCUGCUGUGAAAACCCGAGGCUCAACCUCGGGCCUGCAGUGGGUACGGGCAGACUAGAGUGCGGUAGGGGAGAUUGGAAUUCCUGGUGUAGCGGUGGAAUGCGCAGAUAUCAGGAGGAACACCGAUGGCGAAGGCAGGUCUCUGGGCCGUAACUGACGCUGAGGAGCGAAAGGGUGGGGAGCGAACAGGCUUAGAUACCCUGGUAGUCCACCCCGUAAACGUUGGGAACUAGUUGUGGGGGCCUUUCCACGGUCUCCGUGACGCAGCUAACGCAUUAAGUUCCCCGCCUGGGGAGUACGGCCGCAAGGCUAAAACUCAAAGGAAUUGACGGGGACCCGCACAAGCGGCGGAGCAUGCGGAUUAAUUCGAUGCAACGCGAAGAACCUUACCAAGGCUUGACAUAUACCGGAAAAGGCUGGAAACAGUCUCCCCCUUGUGGUCGGUAUACAGGUGGUGCAUGGUUGUCGUCAGCUCGUGUCGUGAGAUGUUGGGUUAAGUCCCGCAACGAGCGCAACCCUCGUUCUAUGUUGCCAGCACGUUAUGGUGGGAACUCAUGGGAUACUGCCGGGGUCAACUCGGAGGAAGGUGGGGAUGACGUCAAAUCAUCAUGCCCCUUAUGUCUUGGGCUUCACGCAUGCUACAAUGGCCGGUACAAAGGGCUGCGAUACCGUAAGGUGGAGCGAAUCCCAAAAAGCCGGUCCCAGUUCGGAUUGUAGUCUGCAACUCGACUACAUGAAGUCGGAGUCGCUAGUAGUCGCAGAUCAGCAACGCUGCGGUGAAUACGUUCCCGGGUCUUGUACACACCGCCCGU
This 894-nucleotide ribosomal RNA is filed under the name uncultured bacterium. RNAcentral's name for it is "bacterial SSU rRNA". It matches the Rfam family "Bacterial small subunit ribosomal RNA", at positions 505 to 1397 of the family's 1533-position model. The record is from RNAcentral.